This 208-nucleotide ribosomal RNA is filed under the name uncultured bacterium. Its description in RNAcentral is "partial 16S ribosomal RNA". It matches the Rfam family "Bacterial small subunit ribosomal RNA", at positions 568 to 775 of the family's 1533-position model. The record is from RNAcentral.
CUCGUAGGCGGCCAACUAAGUCAGACGUGAAAUCCCUCGGCUUAACCGGGGAACUGCGUCUGAUACUGGGUGGCUUGAAUCCGGGAGAGGGAUGCGGAAUUCCAGGUGUAGCGGUGAAAUGCGUAGAUAUCUGGAGGAACACCGGUGGCGAAGGCGGCAUCCUGGACCGGUAUUGACGCUGAGGAGCGAAAGCCAGGGGAGCAAACGG